Molecule: ribosomal RNA, 433 nt
Filed under: uncultured bacterium
Lineage: Bacteria
Description: partial 16S ribosomal RNA
Rfam family: Bacterial small subunit ribosomal RNA
Source: RNAcentral
AACGAACGCUGGCGGCAUGCCUAACACAUGCAAGUCGAACGAUGCCUUCGGGCAUAGUGGCGCACGGGUGCGUAACGCGUGGGAAUCUGCCUUUCGGUUCGGAAUAACUCAGGGAAACUUGAGCUAAUACCGGAUAACGUCGCAAGACCAAAGAUUUAUCACCGAAAGAUGAGCCCGCGUAGGAUUAGCUAGUUGGUGAGGUAAAGGCUCACCAAGGCGACGAUCCUUAGCUGGUCUGAGAGGAUGAUCAGCCACACUGGGACUGAGACACGGCCCAGAAUCCUACGGGAGGCAGCAGUGGGGAAUAUUGGACAAUGGGCGAAAGCCUGAUCCAGCUAUGCCGCGUGAGUGAUGAAGGCCUUAGGGUUGUAAAGCUCUUUUACCCGGGAAGAUAAUGACGGUACCGGGAGAAUAAGCCCCGGCUAACUCCGUG